CUCAAUUGAAUUCAUUAGUAAAAUAUAAGAUAUACUCAAAUGCUUUGAGCUCAUCAAAAUCAAAUAGGGUUUCAAUCAAUCACUCCACAAUCUCCCCCUUUUUGAUGAUGACAAAACAUUGAGUAUAUAUAAAGUGAAUUGCUUAAUAAACAAGGAAAUAAAAUCCAUAAAUGAAUUCAAAUGUCUGGUAAUUUAAUAUAUCCAAGCUUGAAAGGUGUGAAGCAAUAAAUUUUGGAGUUAAAGCUCCCCCUUUCAUUUGGAAUUAUAUAAGCCUUCAUAUCAUGCAAUCAAUUGUUUGGCUUAUAUAUAUUUAAUGA
RNAcentral lists this long non-coding RNA (317 nucleotides) under Phoenix dactylifera (date palm). RNAcentral describes it as "long non-coding RNA (PDAC_LNC008323)". Lineage: Eukaryota; Viridiplantae; Streptophyta; Magnoliopsida; Arecales; Arecaceae. The record is from RNAcentral.